UGGAUCUACAAAAUGAAGACCUCCAUCCUCUCUUCCCAGGGCUUAUUAAAGUUUUUUGAGAAGAUGAAGAGGAUCAUUUAUUGCCAAAAUACAUGGACUUGUUUGGAGUGAAGUGCUGAGGAUACUGAGGCCCGGAGGGUGAGCAAAGAGCAGGACUAAGAGUGACACUCCAGUCUUCUUGACUCUAAAGUCAGAUUUUCCCCCAUGACUUCAUGAUGCUCUCCAAGGCACUGAAGACGUCCCUUGAGGGGGAAAAUGACAUCAAUCAUCCCAAGUGGAAAUAAGUCAGCUAAUGGACAGGAGAACCUGAUCUGGAAACUAAGGGCUAAUAUUGGAGUCCAAGUUUUGACUGAAAGUCAGAUAUGUUUUCACCUUGGACAGCAACUAAGAAUUUGCUCCAGAACAAACAGAAAAUGGAGUUAGUUGCUCAGAGAGCACUGACUGGAAGGAGUGAGAGAGCGAGUCAGGGCACAGGUGAGAGAGAAAGGUGAGUCAUAGGAGGAGAGGAGUCCUCCCUCCUGCAGGAUGUAUCAAAUGCUCCUAACUAGUAAGACAAUUUUAGAACAAUGCCCA
This 573-nucleotide long non-coding RNA is filed under the name Felis catus (domestic cat). RNAcentral's name for it is "lncRNA (ENSFCAG00000047360.1)". The record is from RNAcentral. Lineage: Eukaryota; Metazoa; Chordata; Mammalia; Carnivora; Felidae.